Molecule: small RNA, 592 nt
Filed under: bovine gut metagenome
Source: RNAcentral
AUGUAGCAGAAAUGGCGCAUUAUUCUAGUCGAUAUAAUAUUAUGAAGACGAGGGUAAAAUAUCGUUAAAAGGCACAUCUAUGAAACGUUUGGUGCUUGCUUUAUACGCCCAGUAUAGGGUGGGUGCUGAAUUUGAAGAGUUUAUGGACGACCGUAACGGCAUACGGCAACCGGACCAUUUAUUCGUGGAGACCUAUACUCGUGAAUCAAAUUAAAUUUUCUUUUACGACUUAGGCGUGAACCUACCUUGUGGCUAAAGCUAUGGGUAGAGUAGCCUGGCUUGCGUGAUAAAAAGGGGAUAGAGACAGCUUAUCUAAAGGUGUACAUCUUUAAAUAUAGUAUUGCUACUUGAAACUUUUAUUGCAAAAAAGCAUUAGUAAUAUUUCUAUUGUUUGAGGAAAACUCCUAGAGUGUAGAUUGUUAUAGGAUUGCAGUGUGCACUAAGUGGCUAUCAAGUAAUAGAAUAGGUAACUUUCUAUUUAAUUUCUUAAUAGGGAACUACUUAAUUGGUAACGAUUAAGUGAAAUUAAGGGAAAUCCAACUUGACCUAAAGGUACAAGGUUUACUAUAUCAAUUGCCAUUUCCUAUUUUUA